This 325-nucleotide ribosomal RNA is filed under the name uncultured eukaryote. RNAcentral describes it as "partial 18S ribosomal RNA". It matches the Rfam family "Eukaryotic small subunit ribosomal RNA", at positions 1470 to 1796 of the family's 1831-position model. The record is from RNAcentral.
CCCUUAGAUGUUCUGGGCCGCACGCGCGUUACACUGAUGCAUUCAACGAGUCCUUCCUUGGCCGAGAGGCCUGGGCAAUCUUUUGAACGUGCAUCGUGAUAGGGAUAGAUUAUUGCAAUUAUUAAUCUUGAACGAGGAAUUCCUAGUAAACGCAGUUCAUCAAACUGCAUUGAUUACGUCCCUGCCCCUUGUACACACCGCCCGUCGCACCUACCGAUUGAAUGGUCCGGUGAAGCCUCGGGAUUGUGGCUGGUCUCCUUUAUUGGGGGUCGGUCGCGAGAACUUGUCUAAACCUUAUCAUUUAGAGGAAGGUGAAGUCGUAACA